CAAUAGCGUAUAUUAAAGUUGUUGCGGUUAAAAAGCUCGUAGUUGGAUUUCUGCCGAGGACGACCGGUCCGCCCUCUGGGUGUGUAUCUGGUUUGGCCUGGGCAUCUUCUUGGAGAACGUAGCUGCACUUGACUGUGUGGUGCGGUGUCCAGGACUUUUACUUUGAGGAAAUUAGAGUGUUUCAAGCAGGCACACGCCUUGAAUACAUUAGCAUGGAAUAAUAAGAUAGGACCUCGGUUCUAUUUUGUUGGUUUCUAGAGCUGAGGUAAUGAUUAAUAGGGAUAGUUGGGGGCAUUCGUAUUUAACUGUCAGAGGUGAAAUUCUUGGAUUUGUUAAAGACAAACUACUGCGAAAGCAUUUGCCAAGGAUGUUUUCAUUGA
Molecule: ribosomal RNA, 380 nt
Filed under: uncultured eukaryote
Lineage: Eukaryota
Description: partial 18S ribosomal RNA
Rfam family: Eukaryotic small subunit ribosomal RNA
Source: RNAcentral